This 395-nucleotide unclassified non-coding RNA is filed under the name uncultured fungus. Its description in RNAcentral is "sequence contains ITS1". The stretch from base 1 to 97 matches the Rfam family "5.8S ribosomal RNA", at positions 50 to 154 of the family's 154-position model. Lineage: Eukaryota; Fungi. The record is from RNAcentral.
GAAAUGCGAUACGCAAUGCGAAUUGCAGAACGCGAGUCAUCAGAUCUUUGAACGCAAGUGGCGCCGGUUUACAGCCGGCAUGUGGUGCUCAGUGUGUUUCGGAAAUCAUAUACGCGGAAUGUGGUUGAAGGCGGCGUGCUCGCACGCGGCUUUCUCCCAUUAAACUCGCGCUGGACCGGCGGGCGGACCUCCCUCCAAAACCGUCUCUCGGCACCGGCUCCCUGCCCGGAAGUAGUCACUAGCACUCUAGUGAUCUACGGGCUUGGGGAGAUACAAACUGGUGCUCCGAGUAGGCUUGGGAGUCAGCUCGCUUACGUGUCCUCGGGUAAUCUAAUUACCGAAAAAAACAUUCCCAUCCUACACCUGAGCUCCGCAAGAUCACCCGCUGAACUUAA